This 490-nucleotide ribosomal RNA is filed under the name uncultured bacterium. Its description in RNAcentral is "partial 16S ribosomal RNA". It matches the Rfam family "Bacterial small subunit ribosomal RNA", at positions 30 to 507 of the family's 1533-position model. The record is from RNAcentral.
AUUGAACGCUGGCGGCAGGCCUAACACAUGCAAGUCGAACGGUAACAGGAAGAAGCUUGCUUCUUUGCUGACGAGUGGCGGACGGGUGAGUAAUGUCUGGGAAACUGCCUGAUUGAGGGGGAUAACUACUGGAAACGGUAGCUAAUACCGCAUAACGUCGCAAGACCAAAAAGGGGGACCUUCGGGCCUCUUGCCAUCGGAUGUGCCCAGAUGGGAUUAGCUAGUAGGUGGGGUAACGGCUCACCUAGGCGACGAUCCCUAGCUGGUCUGAGAGGAUGACCGGCCACACUGGAACUGAGACACGGUCCAGACUCCUACGGGAGGCAGCAGUGGGGAAUAUUGCACAAUGGGCGCAAGCCUGAUGCAGCCAUGCCGCGUGUAUGAAGAAGGCCUUCGGGUUGUAAAGUACUUUCAGCGGGGAGGAAGGGAGUAAAGUUAAUACCUUGGCUCAUUGACGUUACCCGCAGAAGAAGCACCGGCUAACUCCGUG